Molecule: long non-coding RNA, 619 nt
Filed under: Nicotiana benthamiana
Lineage: Eukaryota; Viridiplantae; Streptophyta; Magnoliopsida; Solanales; Solanaceae
Description: long non-coding RNA (NBEN_LNC012377)
Source: RNAcentral
CGGCGGAUGGCUUCGCCGGAGGACGAGAAGUGGGUUUGGCAGUAGCAUUUGGUUUGGAUCUAGGCUUGGGAGCAGAUUUUUUUGGGUCAUCCAUGGGUUUGGAUGCUAAGGGUUUAACUGUAACCGGGUUUGGUUUCUGAUUUCCAGGUUCGGAUUCUGAUUCAGACUCAGACUCCGACCCGGAUUCCUCUGCAGAAGAAGAGGAAUCUUCAUACUGUAACCGGGUUUGGUUUCAGAGUUCCAGGUUCGGAUUCUGAUUCAGACUCAGACUCGGACCCGGAUUCCUCUGCAGAAGAAGAGGAAUCUUCAGGUGGUUGAGGUUUUUUUGGAGCGGCAACUGGUGGUUUUUUCAUGGGUGGUUGUUGUUUUUCGGAUUCGGGUUCGGGUUCUGACUCUGAUUCAGAUUCGGAUUCAGAAUCUGCGUUUCCCGGGGAAGAAACUUCCAUUUCGUCGCCGGAUCCUUCUUCCUCUUCGGCAUGCUUCUUGGUCAUUUGAUUUGAAAGGGUAAAGGGUUUAGGAGAGUGGAUUAUAGCUCUGUCUCCCUGACUCUCUCUCUCUUGUUUUAGCGACGUCAAAUCAAGGGCUUCAUAACUAUGAUAAGUGAGAAUGCUAUUGGGAA